RNAcentral lists this ribosomal RNA (719 nucleotides) under Collemopsidium sp. s461. Its description in RNAcentral is "SSU rRNA". It matches the Rfam family "Bacterial small subunit ribosomal RNA", at positions 384 to 1129 of the family's 1533-position model. The record is from RNAcentral. Lineage: Eukaryota; Fungi; Ascomycota; Collemopsidiomycetes; Collemopsidiales; Xanthopyreniaceae.
UGAACCAGCAACUUGGAGGAAUGUACGUAUGUUAUACAUAUAUUAAAUAUUUAAUUAAAGUUCUAGAUAGAUUAGUGAUAAUGACAAUUAUCUAUCUAUAAGUCUUGACCAAAUCUUGUGCCAGCUGUCGCGGCAAGACAAGAAAGACUGCGUUAUUCAUCUUUAAUAGGUUUAAAGGGUACCUAGACGGUAAAUUUUGUCUAUAAAACACAUUUUUACUAGAGUUAAGAGACUGUGAGGAUAGUAUUGGUAUUGUAGAGAUAAAAUAUUUUAAUAGUACCAGGACUGGUAAUGGCGAAAGCAAUCCUUUAGAAUUAACUGACGUUGAGGGACGAAGGCUUUGGUAGCAAACAGGAUUAGAUACCCUAAUAGUCUUAGCAGAAAAUUAUGAAUGCCAUAGUGUGUGUAUCUACUAGUGAACCCGAUAAACCACAGCGGGAUUUAUUGGGUUUAAUUAUAAGGUAGAGUAACAUCUAUAAAUGAAAGUGCAAGCAUUCCACCUCAAGAGUAAUGUGGCAACGCAGAAACUGAAAUCAUUAGGCCGUUUCUGAAACCAGUAGUGAAGUAUGUUAUUUAAUUCGAUAACCCCCGAAAAACCUUACCACAAUUUGAAUAUCUAUACAAGUGUUGCACGGCUGUCUUCAGUUAAUGUCGUGAGAGAGAGAUUUAUAUAUCAUUUAAAUUAACGAAAACCCAUAUUUUAUUUUUUGUAAUAAAAU